AUACGUAGGUGACAGGCGUUAUCCGGAUUUACUGGGCGUAAAGGGCGUGUAGGCGGUCUUGCAAGUCAGAAGUGAAAUUCCUGAGCUCAACUCGGGCGCUGCUUCUGAAACUGCAGGACUUGAGUGCUGGAGGGGAUAGCGGAAUUCCUAGUGGAGCGGUAAAAUGCGCAGAUAUUAGGAAGAACACCGGUGGCGAAGGCGGCUAUCUGGACAGUAACUGACGCUGAGGCGCGAAAGCGUGGGGAGCAAACAGGAUUAGAUCCCCUGGUAGUCCACGCCGUAAACGAUGAAUACUAGGUGUAGGGGGUAUCGACUCCCUCUGUGCCGCAGUUAACACAAUAAGUAUUCCGCCUGGGGAGUACGGCCGCAAGGUUGAAACUCAAAUGAAUUGACGGGG
Molecule: ribosomal RNA, 397 nt
Filed under: uncultured bacterium
Lineage: Bacteria
Description: partial 16S ribosomal RNA
Rfam family: Bacterial small subunit ribosomal RNA
Source: RNAcentral